This 254-nucleotide ribosomal RNA is filed under the name uncultured bacterium. Its description in RNAcentral is "partial 16S ribosomal RNA". It matches the Rfam family "Bacterial small subunit ribosomal RNA", at positions 524 to 776 of the family's 1533-position model. The record is from RNAcentral.
UACGUAGGGACCAAGCGUUGUUCGGAUUUACUGGGCGUAAAGGGCGCGUAGGCGGCGCAGUAAGUCACUUGUGAAAUCUCCGGGCUUAACUCGGAACGGUCAAGUGAUACUGCAGUGCUAGAGUGCGGAAGGGGCAAUCGGAAUUCUUGGUGUAGCGGUGAAAUGCGUAGAUAUCAAGAGGAACACCUGAGGUGAAGACGGGUUGCUGGGCCGACACUGACGCUGAUAGCGCGAAAGCCAGGGGAGCAAACGGG